Vigna umbellata (rice bean) is the source of this 2244-nucleotide RNA transcript. It is a transcript of the gene named muscle M-line assembly protein, with no coding region annotated. Lineage: Eukaryota; Viridiplantae; Streptophyta; Magnoliopsida; Fabales; Fabaceae. The record is from RefSeq and is a predicted model, not a curated record.
UUAACCGAUUGGUUCCAUUAUCCUAUUUCAAUUUGUGGUGUGCGAGCGAACAAGCUUCUUCAGAGCUGCUACUUCUUCUGCUUCUUCCUCCAAGAAAAGAAGAGGAGAUGCACUUUACGUUUGCCUGAAUUGCACCCACUCUCUGAGCUUCCAUGCCUUUGUUUGAGAUUACGAAUGCGCAACUAUCCUUCCGUUAUUCUCUGACGUUGAAGGCCCCAAUGCCGUACCAUGCGCCCAGAGGCUCCUGGAUUUGCUUGGACAGCCUUAGGAACAGAAAGGAUGCUAAGCUGAAUGUGAUUAAGGCUGUUGCCACCUUCGAACCUAACACUGUCGCUGCAAAACCACACUCCAAUCACUUGGAUGUAGUUCCUCUAACCCCUCCUUCCUUUGACCUUCAAUUUUCCGACCAAGAAACCCAACAACCUCAACCCGAUGACAGGGAGCGGUUGAGAAGAAUGAGGAUAUCCAAAGCUAAUAAAGGAAAUACGCCCUGGAACAAAGGAAGAAAGCACUCUCCUGAGACUUUACGCAAAAUCAAAGAAAGAACAAGGCUCGCGAUGCAGAACCCUAAGAUCAAAAUGAAGCUCAGUAAUCUUGGCCACUCACAAACCACAGAAACAAGACUGAAAAUUGGUGCUGGAGUGAGAAGGCGAUGGGAAGAGAGGCGUGAAAAGAAGAAGGCAGCGGAGUCUUGCUGCUUUGAGUGGAAAAAUUUAAUUGCAGAAGCUUCUAGGAAAGGCUUUCUUGGUCAGGAAGAGCUGCAGUGGAAUUCUUAUGAAACCUUGGAUGAUCAGCUGAAGCAGGAGUGGUUGAUGAGUGUUGACCAAAGGAAACAAAUGAUAAAGACAUCAGGUGGCAAAAGAGCACCCAAGUCCCCUGAGCAGAGAAGGAAAAUUGCAGAAGCCAUUAGUGCGAAAUGGGCUGAUCCUGAAUACCGUCAAAGAGUUUAUUCUGCAUUGUCCAAGUAUCAUGGCACUGAAGUUGGAGCUGAAAGGAAAGCUAGAAGAAGGCCAAAAGAUGAUACCCAACCUACCAAGAAGAAACCUACAAAAAAAAGAGACACUGUUACUAGUACUCAUGUUAAGAAUGACUCAAAAACCCAUAAGCCCAUCCUGUUGAAAAAAAGUAAAUCCCCAGCCUACAAAGAUCCUUUGGUGAAUUCUAAGCUUGAAAUGAUAAAGAAUAUUAGAGCACAGAGAGCUGCUUCGGAAACCACACAAAUUCAAGCCAUUGAACGAGCAAGACUAUUGAUUGCUGAAGCUGAGAAAGCUGCCAAGGCACUGGAGGUUGCUGCGACAAAGAGUCCUUUUGCACAGUCUUCUUUGAUAGAGACCAGAAAGCUUAUAGCUGAAGCUAUUCAAUCACUGGAAUCCAUUGAUACACAAGCUAUAACUGACAGUAAUGUUCCUUCGGUUGGUUUGAGUGAGGUCAAUCAAGAAAAAGAAUCAGCAUCUGAAGUUCUAAACCAAUCAAAAUUGGCCCCAGUAAAUGGACACACAACAUUAUCAUCAAUGGACUACAAGUUCUCUGAAAAUUUUAGCAAAUUUUCCUUGGAGAAGCCAGUUAAUGGUGAACCUGAACUUCUCCUAACCAAUGGCUGCGCAUCCUUACCUUUUAGUUUGAAUGGUCAGAUACGCGAGUCUAGUCCAUCCAAUCAACAAAGGGAAGCUGAACAGGAUCAGAGAAGUGAAUACGAAACAGAGCCUUCUCCAAUAGUGAUGGGAAUUCAGUCCCUUGAAAAUGAGACAGUGUCUAGAUCACCUAUAGUAGUAUCUAAAAGAUGGGUUCGCGGAAGGCUCGUUGAAGUGGCUGAAGAGAAACAAUAAAAUGGCAAGAGGUGAGUUCAAUCAGCCUCGCAACAGCCAACUACGUGUAGACAGAUCGUGGAAGACUAAAAUAGCAAUCACUAAGGGCACACUUCUAUUAGUUUUGUAGCCAUUGCACAGUUGAGCCCAAGCUGUGGCCAUUUUCCCUUCGGCAGGAGAAUCCAUUACACCGGGGAUCCCACCCGAAUCAUUAAGAGUAGAGCAGUGUUUAUUAAGGGUCAACCAAAUUUUCUUUUAUGUUUUCAAAUUCGCCGUUCAACUAAUGUAUGGCAAUUGACCAAAACUUCCAUAGAUUUGCUCCUUUUCGGUGGUACUGUUUUUAAGGCUGUAGUACUAUAGUUGAAUUUAAGCUAUAUGAUUAGUUUUAAGGAGAAGAUAAAUAUUCGUAACACACUGCAUAAGAAGGUUAUUCUUUUAU